UACGUAGGGUGCAAGCGUUAAUCGGAAUUACUGGGCGUAAAGCGUGCGCAGGCGGUGAGCUGUGUCCGAUGUGAAAGCCCCGGGCUUAACCUGGGAAUGGCAUUGGAAACUGGCUCGCUGGAGUGUGGCAGAGGGGGGUGGAAUUCCGCGUGUAGCAGUGAAAUGCGUAGAGAUGCGGAGGAACACCGAUGGCGAAGGCAGCCCCCUGGGCUAACACUGACGCCUCAGGCACGAAAGCGUGGGGAGCAAACAGG
RNAcentral lists this ribosomal RNA (254 nucleotides) under uncultured bacterium. Its description in RNAcentral is "partial 16S ribosomal RNA". It matches the Rfam family "Bacterial small subunit ribosomal RNA", at positions 524 to 776 of the family's 1533-position model. The record is from RNAcentral.